This 468-nucleotide ribosomal RNA is filed under the name uncultured bacterium. Its description in RNAcentral is "partial 16S ribosomal RNA". It matches the Rfam family "Bacterial small subunit ribosomal RNA", at positions 28 to 507 of the family's 1533-position model. The record is from RNAcentral.
GACGAACGCUGGCGGCGUGCUUACCACAUGCAAGUCGAACGGAAAGGCCCUGCUUUUGUGGGGUGCUCGAGUGGCGAACGGGUGAUUAACACGUGAGUAACCUGCCCUUGACUUUGGGAUAACUUCAGGAAACUGGGGCUAAUACCGGAUAGGAGCUCCGGCUGCAUGGUGGGGGUUGGAAAGUUUCGGCGGUUGGGGAUGGACUCGCGGCUUAUCAGCUUGUUGGUGGGGUAGUGGCUUACCAAGGCUUUGACGGGUAGCCGGCCUGAGAGGGUGACCGGCCACAUUGGGACUGAGAUACGGCCCAGACUCCUACGGGAGGCAGCAGUGGGGAAUAUUGCACAAUGGGCGGAAGCCUGAUGCAGCAACGCCGCGUGCGGGAUGACGGCCUUCGGGUUGUAAACCGCUUUCGCCUGUGACGAAGCGUGAGUGACGGUAAUGGGUAAAGAAGCACCGGCUAACUACGUG